CAUGCAAACCACAAUAAUAAACAGAGGAAGUGAAACAGUUAGACGUUUCCAUUUGAUGGUCGGGUCUGAACUUCUGAUUAGCCACGACAUCCAUCCACGUGGUUAUUAUUAGGAACUGAAAAGAUCGACUUCGGUCAGGGCAAACCGUACUCACACCGUCUCAACACCUCUCGCAACCUAAUAUCUCCCCUGAAAUAAAAGUACAUGAGUGUAGAGAUAUUCUCAAAUAAGGAUUCUCUAUUCGAGAAAUUAGGAAACCCGCGCAGCGAACUGCCAACCCACUCUGGAAAACUCUUUUCCAUUUCUCUGAUUCACUUGCAAGCGUUGAAUUGAAGCCACAAACAAAUAAUAAUUAAAAGACCAGGGUGACGCAGCAAUCCUUCUCCUUGGCCUUGGGUGGAGUGGCGGAGGACUGCCUAUUCAUGCUUUCCUAAAUCCUAAUUAUAAGACAAAGACCAGGGUUUGAGCUGUGCCACAUCGCCAAGGUUAUACAAGAAUUCAUUGCCGGAACAAAUUUCAAUUACUUCACACGGAAAUAUUACUUUCGGCCGUCUCCUCCACAACCUCAGCUUGCGUAGUAAAUUAACUCCUCUCGACCUCCCACAGCUGGUUUUCCAAUUUUGGCUGGUUGAAUCCUAGCUGCACUCAAGCAAGGGCUUCAAGAUUCCAGAUUGCAUUUGAAUUCCUUCAAGGAUAACAAGAAGGCCAUAGCUUUUAACUGAUUUCCAGACAAGAAAGCCGGAAUUCUGAUAAUCAUUUAUGUUAAGUACUUAUGGCAUCAAUGGAUUUAUCAGAAAUUAUGUGCAACUUUGCCAAAUUUGUGUUUAUGGUCGCUUCAACUUUGGUAAGGGUGUACAUUUUCUUCAUCAGUUCAAACAUAGGAAAUGUGUUAGAACGAUCAAGAAAAAGAUCAGGAAAUCUAUCAAACCUUGUGCCAAGUUGGUAGAAAGUGUCUCCAAAGUAUACAUGAGGGAUACUAUUGGAAGCAUAUUGAAUAUAUUGAGGUAUUCAACAUGGGAUUCUGCUCAAGAACAGUUGGGAAAGCUUCCGGUGAAAUGGGAUUCUUACACAAUCAACCAGGUUCUAAAGACUCAUCCACCAAUGGAGAAAUCUUGGCUAUUUUUCAAUUGGACUUCCCAUUUAAAAGGGUUUAAGCAUGACCAGUUCACUUACACCACAAUGCUGGAUAUCUUUGGAGAAGCUGGGAGAAUUGCAUCAAUGAUGUAUGUAUUUCAGAAGAUGCAGGAGAAGGGUAUAAAGAUUGACACAGUGACAUAUACGUCACUAUUGCAUUGGCUUUCUAAAAGUGGGGAUAUUGAGGGGUCACUGAAGAUGUGGGAAGAAAUGAAAUUUAAGGGUUGUCAUCCAACAGUUGUUUCGUAUACUGCAUUUAUGAAGAUUCUUUUUGAUAGUAAUAGACCUAAGGAGGCUACUGAGGUUUACAAGGAAAUGCUUGAAUCAGGAUGCUCUCCGAAUUGUUACACAUAUACAGUCUUAAUGGAGUAUCUUGCUGGAAUUGGUAAAUUCAAAGCCGUUCUAGAAAUUUUGAGCAAAAUGCAAGAAACUGGAGUGCAACCUGAUAAAGCUACUUGUAACAUUUUAAUACAUAAAUGUUGUAACGCAGGGGAGACAUCAGUCAUGAAAGAAAUCCUUCUUUACAUGAGAGAGAAUUCACUUGUCCUUCGUCACCCAGUCUAUAUGGAAGCACUUAAGAUCUUGAAGAACAUUGGUGAGACUGCUGAUCUCCUCAAGGAAGUCAAUCCCCACGUCUCCUUUGAAGACAUCAACAAGGAAAAACCCAAGUCCAAAGCAGCCAUAUCUGAUGUACAUUCCAUCAUUGACAGAGGCAUCAUAUUAAAUCUUCUAGAAAGACGGAAUUUUGUUGCUAUUGAAUACUUGAUUAAUGAGAUGAUCAAUAAGAAUAUUCCAUUGGAUUCAGAGCUUGCUUCUACUAUCAUUCAAGUAAACUGUGAAAACCACAGACUAAGUGGUGCUUUGCUAGCCUUCAAAUACAGUGUAAAAAUGAGUGUGCACAUUGAUAGAGUUUCUUACCUCUCUCUCAUAGGUUUAUUCAUCAGAGUUGGUUCAUUUCCUGUUGUCAUGGAGGUUAUUGAACAAAUGAUAAAGGCAGGAGUUCCUUUUGGAACAUAUUUGGUUUCACUUUUGAUUUACAGGUUUGGGUCUGCCCAAAUGGCUGACUCUGCUGCAAAGAUAUUCUAUUCUUUGCCUGAUGAUCAAAACUUGGCCACUUAUACUGCCUUAAUGGGUGCCUACUUCAGUUCAGGGGAUGUUGAUAAAGGACUUGAAAUCUACAGGAUCAUGAAAAGGAGAGGAAUCCAUGCAUCAUCAGGCACAUAUGAAGUAUUAUUAGUUGGUCUUAAGGAAGCUGGUAGGGUUUAUGAUGCAGAAACUUGCAAGAAAGAAAUGAAGAGCCUACAACUUGGUCAACAGUUUCGGGGGGUUGUUUCUUUAGAAGAAACACUUUGUGACCUUCUCUUUGCUGGAACUGUGGUCCCAUGACUAGCAGUCAUAGGACCUUGAGCACCCUUCCUGUUAUUGACUUCGUGUACUAAUCAUAGAUCCUGCUAGAAAAGAGGACAAUGGUGCUUGCAGCAUAGAAAUGAACUCCCUACAACAUGGUGGCCAGUCAUGAAGGAUUGGUUCCUUAGAAGAAAGUCUUAUUGACCUAUUUGGUAGGGGUCUAAUCUUAUGAUUUGGCAGUUCCAGGACCAUAAAGAACCACCUCAAUGUUCAAUUAAUUCACCUUAUUCCAUCUAACCUGUCAGAAAAUGGCAGAGUGGUAUUCACAGAUGUGGGCAGGUGGAAAUUUUGUGAUUUCUCCGCAUCAGGUAUCUACAUGAUGAACAUGGAGUGAGAUGAUAAGGUUUUUCUCUCUAGUUUGUAGGCCAAAAUUGUGGGUUGGCGUUCAAGUUGGAUGCACAUGCAUACCUGCAUAUGUAUUUGGAUAUUACAUAGCUGAGCACCUCCUUUUCUAGCUGAGACAUGGAUUAUACCAGAUUUGCAGUAUUGAAUAUGCAAAUAACGAAUUGGACUCAAAAGUCAGAGUUGGAUCUUUAUCUUGAAGAAAAACUAUUUCCUAGAGGUGAAAAGCUUGAUAUUUUGAGAUUCUGGCGAAUUGAUGGUCCUAAGUUUCCGAAACUCUCUAGAUUGGAACAUUAUAUUUUGGCAAUUCCAGCAUCCACUAUAGCAUCUGAGGGAACAUUCAGUACUGGGGGUAGAAUAGUGGAUCAAUAUCGUACUUCAUUACUUCUAGAAAUGGUGGAGGCUCUGGUUUGUGGGAAAGAUUGAAUUGGAUCUUGAAGCCAUUGCUACCUCUCCUAUAUGUGUGACUUCUACAACUGACACUAAUCGAACAUGAUAUUGGAGCAUAUGCCAUGCAUCUAGUUUGGACAUUUUUGCUUCACGGAAAUAAUUACGAGGAGGAAGAUAAGCUUGAGCCCUCGAGAACAGAAAAAGAAAAAGUUACACUUGUGCCCAAAACAUUGGCUCCCUCUCAACCCCUUGCGUAGCUAACCCAUCAGCAAAAGAGUUAGAUGAUCUUUUCACCCAGCUGAUCUUGACUUCCAUCUCUUGAACCAGCCACCUAAAUUUCCUCCUCUCAUUACUGUACAUCCAUAACCCGCUGUUGUCUUUAUUCAGCCACCCUACCACCACCGAGUCCCCUUCAAUUAUGAGAUUUCUUAUAUUCAUCUCCUUUGCUCUUUGGACUCCUUCCAUAAUUGCAUAGAUCUCGGCCUUGAGAGAGUUACCCACUCCAAUUGGGCCUGAGAACAGGGCUGAAACAAACCCAUUCUCAUCCCUAAACACACCCCCAAUCCCCGAGUGUCUAGGACUCCCUCUACUACUACCAUCAAAGUUUAGUUUUAAGAAACCAAUAAGUGGGGGGAGGGGGGUCCAAGACACACUCAUUACUGUUUUGGUCUGGGUACAAUUAGCAAUCUCACCCCACUUCCUCAACAUGUCAUCCACUCUGUAAUCUGUAAACAGCUCUGAGGAUUUCAGCCACUAUACAACCCUUAUAUGGAUCAGUUCUCUCAAUUCUUUAGCACCUCUCUCUACUUCAAAGAAGAUCCUGUAGUUUCUUUCCUCCCACAAAGCCUAGCAUACCGCAGCCCUUAGACAUCUCCACAUGGUCUUUCUCCUUUUCAUAUGCCACCUGAAGAAAGAAGGGGAAAAAAGACUUUGCAAGUUUGGUGGAGGAUUCCAUCUACACCCAAAGAGGGAGAAAGCCCACUCCCAAAUAGACUUUGCAAACUGGAAUGACACCAAAAGGGGAAAAAAGACUUUGCAGUCUCCCCAUCUGCUUUACAAAGAACACACCUGUGAGGGGAUAAACAUGUCUUGGGUCUCUUCUUUUGGAGCAUAUCACCAGUAUUGAUUCUUUCCAGAAAAGCUUCCUAGCAAAAACUACCAACCCUAGGAGGAAUUAGUCUGCACCAAACCUCAUUAACCGGGAAGGGAAGGGCUAUAGGACUGGAUGACUGACUUAAGACUUUGAAAAAGGAGGCACAAGAGAAUGAGCCAGUGGAGGUGGGGGUCCAGAUUCUAGAAUCCAACUUAACAGGGUCUAAGAAAACAUUAUCAAGGAGUCCAAGGAGACUCGAAAUACUAUCAAGGUCUGAGUCUCUCACAGCCCUCCUCAAGCCCAAAUUCCACCCAAACCCAGAAAUGGAAGAUAAGGGGGUAAUGAAAGAAGCAGCUGACCAUUCAAGUUUUCCAUUCUACAUCCCAGCCUCCCCACAAAUUCUGCUAUCAAAUCCUCUCUCUUAGAUCCCUCCACCACUGUCCUUUCUAACUCUUCCCCUUCAUUUCUCCCCUCCUUUCCUUCUCUCCUCUCAAUUGACCCCUCCCCUCUUAUCUCAUUCAUAUCCUUCCUCCAUAACAUAUUUUGUUCCACUUCACUAAAUAUUCUUUCAAUAAUUUCCCACACCUUCUCAUUCUUAUCCCUUCCUUCCAACUCCUCCCCAUGGUCCUUCAUCACCCUCUCCACAAGCUUAGAGCACCCACCACCUUUGUUGGCUUCGCAUGCUAGGGCUGCUGAACUUGGAAUGGGAUUGGAAUCUGGAACAUACGACACAGAAAACGCAUCAGUAGCAAAAACUAAAUUCACUUGAUUACCCGGGUUUGACUGGAGGGUUGGAAGUGGAUUCGGGUUAAUGUUCUCAACCUUCAUGUCUUGUUCAGAGAGUUGGUGACUUCUGUCUCCCUGAGUUGGUUGUGAAGCAUUUCUGUCCUUUGGACAACCUGGCAAUCUGUCAUCUCUCCUUGUGGUUUACCCCUUGUUGGUGUAUUUCUACUCUGCUUCAGGUUCUCCUGAUUUACCCCUUUAUUUGCGCCUUGCACAAUCUGAAGUCUUGGAAAUGGGUUAUUCCCGUAAGAGUUCAUCCCCACUUCAUGAACCCCAGGACUUCUUUCAUCGCCUAUCGAACCUUCCUGGUCAUCUAGAAUGCUUCUCCGUUGCUCCUCUAUGUCCCCCUGAAAUAGGCCUGCAAUGUUCAACAAACCCAUAUCGCCUUCAUCAUAGCCUCCAUCAUCAUUCACACUUCCAAUGCUAGUACCGGCGCCUGAGCUAUCAACCGAGUCUUCAUCAUUCUCACUGCAGUGAACCCAUCCUUCAUCCACCCCAACCUUUUCUUCACGUCUCUCUCUUACAAAUCUAGGGUUUGGUCUCUUUGUGGAGCGCCUCAAGGAGAUAGGUUCUGCUCGAUCUUGGCAGAUCACCCACCGUAAGUCACCCUGUCUGCCUGUUUUCCGCCACUACAACUUGUCCCCAAUGGACCUCACCAUUUUAGAGGAAGAUAGACUGUAGGAACUGUCUAGUGUCGGACCUACGUCCAAUUCCUUGCCCCAACCCACAUGAUCUUUUAAGUUAUCACGUGGGUCGCUAAACCUGUACCCCGGUUUAGCAGUCGAACCACCCUUAACCCCAGCCGGUUCAGACCAGGCCAUCCGGUGUUCACGGCUUGGUCCACUUAAUUUCUUUGCCAUAUCAGCAAAGGUUAAGUCACCCACUUUAAUUUUACUCGAUUCAAAAAAGUUUGAAUUAAUUUCCUUUAAAGGCGACUUGUCGUUUGGUUUACCCCAGCCGACUGAUUAAUUGCUAAUUUGGCUUUCCCCUGCAACUUAUCUUCUUUACCCAAUCUCCUUCCUCCACGUGUCCACCACCCUGCCAUCUCAUCUUUGUAUUCAGCCUUGGGAGUUCUUCCCCACCACGACUGUUCGACUUCUGACGCCACCCACACCCUGUACCAAGCACCAUCUAAACAAAUUUCGAAGAACCUAGGUAGGUACUCAUGCUUGAUUCCCACAACCUGAAGCUCAACUGCCCCCAAAUUUCUUUUAUUAGCUUCCAUCAACACCCCUCCUAAGCUUCUAACAAUCUGCUCGAGAACAGUCCCGCCAAAGAUUGAAGGGAAGACCUAACAGCUUCAGCUGGGUACAUCCAUCUAUAACCUCAACUUCGUUACAGGUGGGGCUCCAGUUAUGAAUCUGUAUAAGGCUUCUGAUGAGGGCAGAUUUGGCCCUCCAGUGAAAUUGUGACACGUGGCACCUCGUGACAACUAGGCAAGC
This is a non-coding RNA of Nelumbo nucifera (sacred lotus), 6591 nucleotides long. NCBI's taxonomy places the organism in Eukaryota, Viridiplantae, Streptophyta, Magnoliopsida, Proteales, Nelumbonaceae. The record is from RefSeq and is a predicted model, not a curated record.